UACAGAGGGGGCUAGCGUUGUUCGGAAUUACUGGGCGUAAAGGGCGCGUAGGUGGCCUGUUAAGUCGGACGUGAAAUCCCCGGGCUCAACCUGGGAACUGCGUCCGAUACUGGAUGGCUUGAAUCCGGGAGAGGGAUGCAGAAUUCCAGGUGUAGCGGUGAAAUGCGUAGAUAUCGAGAGGAACACCUGCGGCGAAGGCGGGUUGCUGGGCUGACACUGACGCUGAGGCGCGAAAGCUAGGGGAGCGAACGGG
Molecule: ribosomal RNA, 253 nt
Filed under: uncultured bacterium
Lineage: Bacteria
Description: partial 16S ribosomal RNA
Rfam family: Bacterial small subunit ribosomal RNA
Source: RNAcentral